UGGGGAAUAUUGCACAAUGGGCGCAAGCCUGAUGCAGCCAUGCCGCGUGUAUGAAGAAGGCCUUCGGGUUGUUAAGUACUUUCAGCGGGGAGGAAGGGAGUAAAGUUAAUACCUUUGCUCAUUGACGUUACCCGCAGAAGAAGCACCGGCUAACUCCGUGCCAGCAGCCGCGGUAAUACGGAGGGUGCAAGCGUUAAUCGGAAUUACUGGGCGUAAAGCGCGCGCAGGCGGUUUGUUAAGUCAGAUGUGAAAUCCCCGGGCUCAACCUGGGAACUGCAUCUGAUACUGGCAAGCUUGAGUCUCGUAGAGGGGGGUAGAAUUCCAGGGGUAGCGGGGAAAUGCGUGGAGAUCUGGAGGAAUACCGGUGGCGAAGGCGGCCCCCUGGACGAAGACUGACGCUCAGGUGCGAAAGCGUGGGGAGCAAACAGG
RNAcentral lists this ribosomal RNA (429 nucleotides) under Fusobacteriota bacterium. Its description in RNAcentral is "Fusobacteria bacterium partial 16S ribosomal RNA". It matches the Rfam family "Bacterial small subunit ribosomal RNA", at positions 355 to 776 of the family's 1533-position model. The record is from RNAcentral. Lineage: Bacteria; Fusobacteriati; Fusobacteriota.